AAUUUUAAAGAAAGAAGAGUGAUGAUGAAUAAUGAUUUUGAACUGUAGAGGGGAAGCUACAGUUCAAAAUAGUAAAAAUUUUAUUUAUUGUACCUUUUGUAUCAGGAUUAAUUUAAUUUUUAGUUUAAGAAUUUAUUCUCGAAAAAAAAAGAUUUAAAGAAAUAUGAUACUGAUGUUUAAUUAUUUGGUGAGAUGAUUCUUUAGUUUUGAAAAAAAUCUAGAUUUUUUUUAUCUAGUUACUUUUUGUAUGAUUUAAUCAAUUUUAUUUUAGUAAUUUUUUGUAAAAAUAAGAGAUAUUUUUAGGGAUAAGCUUAAAAAUAAAAAAUUAGCUUAGAAAAUCAAUAAUUUUAUAGGUUUAAAAUUAGCCAAUUUUUUAAUAUUUUAAAAUCAAUUUAAGUUUUUUAAAAAUUUUAUAAUAGCUUUAAGGGGAAGUAAAGUUAUUUUUAAUUUAAUAUGAAAAUUGAAAUAAUAAUGAUUGAAUUAGUAGAACAAAAAAUAUGAUUUAAGAAUUCGGCAAAAUUAAUUUUUGACUGUUUAACAAAAACAUUUCUGGGAGGAAAAUGUUUUUAGUUUAACCUGCUCAAUGCUUUAGUUAAUAGCUGCAGUAUUUUGACUGUACAAAGGUAGCAUAAUCAUUAGCUUUUUUAUUGGAAGCUUGUAUGAAUGGUUGAACAGAAUAUUAACUUUUUUAAUCGUAUUAAAUUUUAAUUUAUAGUUUAUGUAAAAAUGCAUAUUUAAUUAAAAGGGACGAUAAGACCCUAUAGAAUUUAAAAAUAUAAUUGAUUACAAAUAAUUUUUUGUUGGGGUGACAAUAAAUAAACUUUUAUUUAAAUUUUACUGAUGAGUAAAUGAAUGAUCCUAAAUAUUUAGACAAUAAGAUGAAAUUACCUUAGGGAUAACAGCAUAAUUUUUUUUAGAAGUUCUUAUUUAUAGAAAAGAUUAUGACCUCGAUGUUGAAUUAAAAUAAUUAAUUGGUGUAGAAGCUAAUUUUUUUAGUCUGUUCGACUAAAUAUUUUACAUGAUUUGAGUUCAGACCGGCGUGAGCCAGGUUGGUUUCUAUCUUUUUAUGAAAGUGUUGAUUUAGUACGAAAGGACCAGUCAUAUUUAUUUUUAUUAUAAAUUUUGAGUAAAUUUAAUUUAACAAUU
Molecule: ribosomal RNA, 1146 nt
Filed under: Arytainilla spartiophila (broom psyllid)
Lineage: Eukaryota; Metazoa; Arthropoda; Insecta; Hemiptera; Psyllidae
Description: 16S ribosomal RNA
Source: RNAcentral